Molecule: unclassified non-coding RNA, 244 nt
Filed under: uncultured Ascomycota
Lineage: Eukaryota; Fungi; Ascomycota
Description: sequence contains 5.8S rRNA gene, ITS2, 28S rRNA gene
Source: RNAcentral
AACGCACAUUGCACCCGCCAGUACUCUGGCGGGUAUGCCUGUUCGAGCGUCAUCUCAAACCUCAAGCAUCGCUUGCUGUUGGGGCGCUCCGGUCUUUUCCGGAGGCCCCUAAUCCUAGUGGCGGAGCGUCGUCGGCUCUGAGCGUAGUACUGUUCUCGCUCUUGGGCCUCGGUGUUGCCUGCCGUAAAACCACCAAAACUCAAGGUUUGACCUCGGAUCAGGUAGGGAUACCCGCUGAACUUAA